Molecule: ribosomal RNA, 711 nt
Filed under: Triticum aestivum (bread wheat)
Lineage: Eukaryota; Viridiplantae; Streptophyta; Magnoliopsida; Poales; Poaceae
Description: partial small subunit ribosomal RNA
Source: RNAcentral
AUGAUUACUGGACUAGCUCCGGACCUCAUUGAGAAUGGCAUAGCCAUCCUCCAAUAUGCUGACGACACAGUCAUCUGUUUUGAACAUGAUGAGGAGGCUGCUGUUAACUUGAAGCACCUCUUAUAUAUUUUUGAACUCAUGUCUGGUCUAAAGAUAAACUUCCUUAAGAGUGAAAUCCUGUGUGUGGGAGGAGAUGAUAAUGUACUAGCUUCCUAUGCUGAUCUUUUCAACUGUCAAAUUGGGCACUUCCCGAUGAAAUACUUGGGAGUGUCGGUAAGCUACUCCACCUUGCGUAGCCUGGACUGGAGUUUUGUAGAUGACAAAUUCCUCAAAUGUUGUGAAACAUGGAUUGGGAACGCUGCAUCCUCGGGAGGAAGACUUGUACUCCUAAAUUCCUCCCUUUCUAGCAUUGUUUAUUACUACAUGGCUAUGUUUUUGCUUCCUAAGAUGGUGAUCUACAAACUUGAUAAACAUCGCAAAAAGUUUUUCUGGCAAGAAACCAACGGCAGGAAACGUUAUCAUCUUGUGGAAUGGACCAGAAUCUGUAGAUCGAAGAACAAAGGGGGUUUGGGGGUGAAAGAUCUCCGUAAGCAUAAUAUUAGCUUACUUACUAAAUGGUGGUGGAAACUCAAGACACAGCAAGGGUUGUGGCAGGAUGUAAUUCGAACCAGGUACUUGAAAAAAAGAUACUAUAACUUCGGUGAGAAGUAG